AUUAUAUAUAUUUUAAUUCUUAAAAUGUUUAAUAUGAGCUUGAAGACCUCGUAAUUGCAGAUUUACAUCAGGUCUGUAGCAUGCUCAUGGACGCUAGGCUUAAAGUAUGAUAUGAAAGAUUUUCACGUGAUCACAUUUUGCUCCUUAUCAUCACAGUGCUGGGCACAUGCCACUAAGCCAUCUGUUUUAAGUGCGCUUAUGUGUAUGUGCCUAGUGCUAUGCUAAGACAUUGCAUUGGUUAGGAGGCUUAGCAUACACAGAGAGAGCUUCACCAAAGUGCCCAAAGUUCAAAGGUAGUAUAGAUAUGUCUUCAAAUACAAAGUGAUUUCAACAACCUAAACAAAGUAUAACCAUGAAACCUGCUUAAAUCUCUUCUUCAGAAGCCAUUUGUUCAAGCUUCACAUAUGAGUCCUUAAGAAGAAUUUUUGUUUAGGAACAGACUGAGAAGUACCACACUGGGUAAGUAUAAUAUGUGUAUAGCUGAUGUUGACAUCUCAUGACUUCCGAGCUAUAUUGAGUUUUGUUAUAGCAUAACAGAGAGAAGAGGACUGUCACAGAGGCAAGUUAAGGCCCAGGACAAAACAAGCCUAUGAGCUGGAUGGCAAAAGCGAAUGGAGACCAGAGGGUAUGCCCUGACUGUUUCAAACCACGUGGAAAUCUACAAAAUAAAAAAGUAGUAGAGGGGCGCUGCAAGAAUCACUUUACAGGGUGGAGGCUGAGUAAAGCAGAGAUGGCAUAUCCCUCGGGCCACCAUCUUUCUGCAGGACCAAGAAAGCAACUUUUUACCAGCAGGAAGUUCUGCUACAGCAAAGCCUGAUCCCUUUGUACUAAGUGGUGUAAGAUUUAUCCCAGGGGUAACUGGAGCCUGCUAUAACAAGAGCUAACUCCAACUGAGUUCUGCUAGGACUGAGUUCAUUCUGGACCAGUGACUUCUACUAUGAAAUGUCACUCAUACACAGAGCAACUAUAGAAGAAACCAGCACUUGUUCUAGGCAAACAGAAUGAAAGAUUGAAGCUGUCUAUACAUCCCUUUUGAUAUUGCAUCCUUUCUCCUUCUGCAUAACAGAUGCUCGAAACCAACAAUGGUAAUCUCGAAGUUCAUCUGUCGUCUUUGUUUUUCAUAAUAAUGUCUGGCUACUGACUUUUCUCAUAAGAUUUAAGUUCCCUUUUGUGUGCCUGAAAUACCCCCAGUACAUGCUUAUGCAGCCUAGAGUGUUGCCUGUAUUUUCCCUCCUCUCAUGCUUUGUUCCUAUCUACGUUAUCUUACGUUUCCUAACCUUAAAUUGCAAGUCAAUCCCAUUUACUUUUUCCUGCUCCAAAUUUAUUUAAAUCUUGCCAAACCAGCAUUUAUCAUCCCCUUCUUGCGUGAUUCAUUAACCAGGUCAUUAGCUCAAAUAUCAGUAUUUAUUAACUAGUUUGCUGAUUCAUUCACAAGGGACAUCAUAGAAGAAAGUAUAUAGGUGCUUGUGGAAGAAUUGGACAUAUAGCAGUGGCGAUUUGCAUUAUUGGAAGAAAAAGGCUAAAAUAUGAAGGUCUUAAAGGUAGUGUUAUUAGAGGAUAUGAUAUUUAAUAUGGUAGAAAGAGUGUCAGGGCAAGGACUCGAUGAGUAGGAUGAUGUAAAAAAUGAGGGGCAGGAGUAUCUUGUGUAGGCUGGUAGCAUGAGUUUGGCAUCAGGAACAGUGGAGGAUGGAGGUAACAAUAGUGUAGAGGAGAGAGCCUAAGUGGGUAGAGGAGAUUUUUCAAGGGGUACACAGAAAGCAUGUAACUUUGAACAUAGAACAGCAAGAUUUGAAUGUGACCUAGAUGCAUGAGAGGGGCUAAUGUGAAAUGACAGGUUACAGACCUGAGAGAGAGAGGAGAUGGUAAAGUUGUUAUCAGGG
This is a long non-coding RNA of Gavialis gangeticus (Gharial), 1880 nucleotides long. RefSeq lists it as uncharacterized. Lineage: Eukaryota; Metazoa; Chordata; Crocodylia; Gavialidae. The transcript has 3 exons. The record is from RefSeq and is a predicted model, not a curated record.